This 898-nucleotide long non-coding RNA is filed under the name Marmota monax (woodchuck). Lineage: Eukaryota; Metazoa; Chordata; Mammalia; Rodentia; Sciuridae. The record is from RNAcentral.
UCUGACCACUCAAUGUAUCCUCAGUGAGUAUCUGAAGAGUCUCAACUCAGUUAAAUACAGCAUCAAAGUAGUCAUUUCCAGCUUCUGAAUGCUGUGAUUGUAAGAUAUCAUAGAGCUGAGUGCUAUAGGUAAUACUAGAUUUUAAGAUAAAUUUGUUAAAACUGGCUUUAUUAAAACUUCUAGCAGCUGGCAAAGGCAACUAACUGCUCAAGGGCCUCCUAUGACAGUGCCCCUGAGUAUUCAAAGUGGACUCAGUCAGCCCUGAGUUCCAUUCUUGGUCUUGAUACUUACCAGUUUCUGUAUCACUUUGAACAACUUGCAUCAUCUGAGUCUUGGUUUAACUAUUGGAAAUAAGUGGGGACAAUACCCACCUUGCAGAGUGUAGGACAGAUUAGAUGAAACAAUGCACAUAAAGCGCCUAGGACAGAGUAGGCAGCCACAGUAGCGAAAGAGCACCAUGCCUCCCAUUGUUCUGCCACCUAGACUAUUUGAGAAUCACCUAUGCUAUUUAUUCCAUGAUCUCCUACCAUGCCUCAUUGCAGGUGGAAGUAAGAAUUCACUUGGAAAAAAAGCAGCUCUCCAGAAAGCAAAGGCAACUGCUUAAGGAAGAAGAGAGCGAUCCUAGGAGGCAAGAUUCCUGCAGCUCCUAUCAUUCCUUUGACAAAGCAAAGCAAAUUCCAUCUUUGGAGGCAGAGGCAUUAAAUUAUUGCUCUCUCAAAAAUGAGCUAGCAAGAACAUAAUCUAGACACAAUUCAUUGUAAUUUCCAACCCCAAAUUAUUCAAAUAUGGGCUAGGAAAUAGCCCAACGUGGAAGGAAUGCUGAAGGUUGCCCACGUGGUCACCAGGAAGCCUCUCGCUGACAGUGCAGCACAUCCACAGGAUGACAAGUCUCUGUCUA